ACCGCACUCGCAAACGUAGACAUGGCCGACGCGAGUCAAAGGGUAGUAUCUGUUUCUAUCAGCUUAAUUGUGAUACGUGUUGUAUUUGAACGUAAGAUAUUAAACUUAUUUUUGCUAGUUGGCGGAGUGCUCAAAGCCUGCUUCACCUCCGCCGCGGAUCGGCCCCGUAUUGCACUAUCUUCGGUAAUGGCCCACGUAUG
Non-coding RNA from Dermacentor andersoni, 200 nucleotides. The record is from RefSeq and is a predicted model, not a curated record. NCBI's taxonomy places the organism in Eukaryota, Metazoa, Arthropoda, Arachnida, Ixodida, Ixodidae.